GCGUGCAUCUGCAGCAGGCGGCCGAUCCGCUCCUUACGCGAGCGGUUCGGCACGUAGACCUGGUCGCCCGAGUUCAGCGUGCCCGAGUAGACGCG
This 95-nucleotide transfer RNA is filed under the name compost metagenome. RNAcentral describes it as "tRNA-Val". The record is from RNAcentral.